GACAGAUGUCGCUCUCUGAUUGGCUGAUGCUGCAGCUAUGUCCCGGUCAAGCUUCUGGAAUCUUCCCAGAUGUCGCUCUCUGAUUGGCUGAUGCUGCGCUAUGUCCCGGUCAAGCUUCUGGAAUCUUCCCCCUUCUGAGUCUGCUCCGGUCUAGCUUUUCACUUGUGCGAGACUUUGCGAUUUGGAAGUUUUCCAGUGCUGCCAGCUGUGAUCUUCACCUGUGCUUCACUACACCCACCUUCAAUCAUCUACACUACUGUUACAUCUCAAUCAGAAAACAACACACUGACUAGAUAAACAUAUUCAGA
Long non-coding RNA from Girardinichthys multiradiatus, 308 nucleotides. RefSeq lists it as uncharacterized. The transcript is spliced from 2 exons. The record is from RefSeq and is a predicted model, not a curated record. NCBI's taxonomy places the organism in Eukaryota, Metazoa, Chordata, Actinopteri, Cyprinodontiformes, Goodeidae.